GGCUGUGGUCAAAUCUGCUUCCCUGCUGUCCCCUCCCCCCCUCAGGAGCCCUUGUGACACCGCCACAGUUCCAUGAUAAGGGCAUGGGGUUCUAAUCUCCAAGUCACUCCCAGUCCUCAGUUGCCUGAGAGUAGAACUGUAUUUGAGAUAUGGAAACUCCUAUCUUAUAUCUAAAAACCAUUGUUGCUACCUAGUUGAGCUCCAGUUCCGCUUCCUGGGUGAUUGGGACCAUCCUCUGCAUCCUGUAUGGACUGGGGCUCUUCCUCCUGUUCUUCCCCUCCCCCAGAAGGAAUUUGCCCUCACAACCAACUUACAAAAGGAGAAACGUCAGGAAAGUAAGAAAUCCUGGACCGAGACCCACCAGAAGAUGAGUCUCCCUUCUUUUUUACUAUGAUUUCCCCUUCUCUGAAUCAACUAAAGGGACUCCAGGGAUGGGAAACAAUAGAACAUCAUCCUUCUAGGGACAAGCCAGGCUAGGUUGGCAGGGGUGAGGGUGGGCACAAAGAUUUCCAUCCAAAGAUCUCGGAGCAGGAGUCCUGGUGUGGCAGAGGGCUCCAGGGAAAGUCCCCAGGCCAGUGACCAGUGGCCAAGGAUGGGAUGCUGAUUAGGAUCUGUGGGAAGAUAGGCCCUGAGCGCUUGUUCCCCAGCUGCCUUCCUGGGGCAGGUGUCUCAGGUGGGCCUUUCCUCUAUUGUGGCUCAUCUGAGGGCAGUGAUGAGCCCCCGAGAGCCUCUGAGCAGGACCUGGAGUGGGGCUGUGGCCUCAGGAAACAAAGUCCUCAUGAGGAACCUCAUAAGAUUUCAUACAUCUGAGAAUGUGCACGUUUCUUAACAGAGAAACAGUGAGAGAAGAUCCAUGCUGGUCCCACAUGGGGACCUUCUUAUGAUCCCCAAAGAAGGAAGACAGCAAAUGUCCAUUUUGUGUUCAAUUAUCCAUUUCAAAAGUAAGUAAAAGGGAAGAAACACCCCAGAGCCCCAGGACUUCAGUGUAGACAGUCAUCUUCCUCACAAAUGCUGUACGUCUGCAGCUGGUCCAGAGACAGAAGAGGGAGCCUUGGGUCUCUGCCCCCACAGUUUCUUGUUUUUUUCUCUCAUUUCAGCGUCAAGUGAAGCUGAGAAGGAGGAGCAGCAGGAGCAGGAAGAAAAGGGGAGCUUUGAACGCUUACAGAGCUGGCCAGAAGGACCUGGCAGAAGUGGGGGGCCUGAUGUCCCUUUUGCAAAGCUCCCUGGGGAGGCUGUCUUGUAAGGGAUGCUUCCAUCGCUUGUCAUCUCAAGAUUCUCCUGGGGAGGCAUGCAAGACAGCAUCUGCUAGAGUUCACCAGCCAUGCGGGAAGCCUGUGGAAGGUGUUCCUCUCACCAUGAAUCCAGCACUUUCCCUGGCUCUUCUGACCCAGCCCACUCUACCUUUGGCCUCCACUCUGCCAGCAGAACCUCCAUCUGCCUUGACCAGAACUCCAUUAGGCCCUUUUGCCACGAGCUCAGCUCUAGCUCACUCCUGUUUCCAUCUACCAACUCAGGCCGCAGCCGCACGAGCUGUAGCAUUGGGUUCCUCAGCAAAUCUAUGAAUUAUCCUUUUGUUGGUUUGAGUCAAGGGUGGAGGAAAUGUCCUGUAGAAAGUUCCAACCAUGCCAGGUCUUCGUUUUCUUACUGGACAUGGGCUAGUUUAGGAGCAUCAUGUGAUGGAGCAUAAAGGGUGGACUUUGAGGACAACCGGGUCUGGGGCUGAACACAAGCUUAGCCAUUUGUGAACUGCCUGAUCUAAGACAUGUUCUUAACCAUUCUGAAUUUCAGUUUCUCAAUCCAGGUAAAGAAAAUAAUAAGAUUUACCAGUAGGAGUUAUAGGACUUAGUUUCUUUUCUGGUUCUCUGAUCUACUCUGUAAUUUUGGCAAGUCGUGUGACCUCUUCAGGCCUACUUAUCUUUGAGAGAAAAUGAAGGUCUUAGUGGUUCUCCAUAGGAAUAUGAUUUUCUCCCACCCGGGGGCAUCUGAAAGUGUGUGUGGUGUUUUUUGAUUGUCAUGAAACUAAGGGAAUCAAGAACGUAAAUUGCUCUGUAAGGGGGAGGACAGUCCCAUACAACAGAGAAUUGUUCCAUCAGAAAAUCAACGUAGCCCUGUUGUGAAACCCAAUUAGAACAUCUCUGAAGUCUUUGUCACCUUAACAUUUCAUCAUUUUACUCUAUGUCAUUGUUUCCUUACAAUUAUGAUGGAUGAACUAGAUAAUUAAAUGCUAUGAGCCACCCUGCCACACAUGAGCAUGUUUAUCAAAAUGAAGGAUGGUGGAAUAAAGAACUGGCUUUUUUUGGGUUGGAGUAAAGGGCUCAAGGCAAGUCUCAGAGCGUGUGAGACAGAAGCUUCCCUGGAAGUAGUUCCUAAAGUGCUCACUAUGGAAAGUAAAGGAAACCUAUAUUUCAUGAGCAGAGUUGC
This is a non-coding RNA of Equus caballus (horse), 2421 nucleotides long. The record is from RefSeq and is a predicted model, not a curated record. NCBI's taxonomy places the organism in Eukaryota, Metazoa, Chordata, Mammalia, Perissodactyla, Equidae.